Long non-coding RNA from Oryzias sinensis (Chinese medaka), 2031 nucleotides. The record is from Ensembl. NCBI's taxonomy places the organism in Eukaryota, Metazoa, Chordata, Actinopteri, Beloniformes, Adrianichthyidae.
UAUAGCUCUCACCAAUGGAGGAAUGUGUUUUUCUGAGUCAGUUGAUGAUGCUGAUCGCUAUGCUAGCACUUUUAGCCACAUUAGCAUAGCUAGCAUAGUUAGCAUAAUAAGCAUUUUAGGUAUUGUGUUUUUCUGAAUCAGUUGAUGAUGCUGAUCGCAAUGCUAGCACUUUUAGCUAUGUUAGCAUAACUAGCAUAGUUAGCAUAAUUAGCAUUUUAGGUAAUGUAUUUUUCUGAGUUAGUUCAAGAUGCUGAUCGCAAUGCUAGCACUUUUAGCCACAUUAGCAUAGCUACCAUAGUUAGCAUAAUUAGCAAAUCCAGCCUUGACUAGCUUUAAGUUUUUGGGCGAUGAGGUCGGUGAAGGCGGAGAGGGCGGCGGUGUUGCGUAGAGUUGGGCGUGGAAGGCGGGUUGCGUCUGCGGGCCAUACAACGCCGCUUGCGGCUUUAAUUAAAAAUUGUGACUUUAACAUUUUUAAGUUUGAGAGUUACUAUUGUUGGCAGAAAUUAAAACACAAUUUUUGAUCACUUCUAAUGAAUAAGGAUAGUAUGCAAGUACAAGCUAGGCAUUAUAAAACUCUGCAGGAAAUGUACAAAAAGUAGAAGCCCAAGCUGAUCUUAACAGUUUCAGGCCAAACGAGCUUAUAGAUAGAUACCAGAGCUUCAUCCAUCGUGGAUGUUUAUCCAGAGAACUGCAUCAUUGGAAGCAAACUUUGCUCUGGUGAAGGCCCUUCCCAUUCUCUUUCCCCCAGUGGCACCUCCAUCAAAGAAACUGGGGUGUGCUAGUGAAGCUUUACUGCAUGUUCAGGAGUCAACAGAAGAUCCAAACGUCUUCAUCCAGAAGAGAGGCCUGUCAAGUCCAGUCUUGGUGUUCGAUGGCUGUAGAUGAAUCGUUGCUAUUGGUUUGAUGCCAGUGACGUUUGAAAAAGAAAAGCUUCACGAGGGUCUGAUUUUCUAAAUGGCAUAUUAUUACACACUACAUCUGACCUACACAAAUUGCGUGUCCACCCUUCUGUCAUUCAGACAGAGAUCCUUCAGGAUACAAUUCACAAGUGGGACAUCACCACCACAUGAAAGAGCAUUAAAGUAAAGAAUUUGUUGGAAGAUGAACUGCUUUUGCAGUUCAAUGUUUAUGUCUGUUCUUUAGAUGAGUAUUCUAAUUGUGUUUUUAAAGAAAUAGUUCUAUUCCUAGUGCCUUUGGGUAAAUUUGUAUCACAAAUCUCAGUUUGUAAGUUGAAUAAAAGAAUCGAAAAGUGAGUUUGUUUUCAUUCUUUUUAGUAUUGAAACAAGAAAAAAUCUUUUGCAACAGCUUGUUUCAAGAUUUAUUUUCUGAAUUUUAGUGGGCAAUACAUUUUAAUCAAGCUCCUAUAUCCUAGUUUUUUUGCCUUAAAUUACUGCUUAAAAUAAGUGUUUUUGCCUAAUUUCAAGAUUUAACCAAUUUACUAUGGCUUAGAUAUUUUUACUUAAAUCAAGACAUCUUGUUAAGUAAAAUUUACUAGCUGCACUGGCAGAUAAUUUGACUUAUUUCUAGUCAAUUACUACUAAAAACAACGUUUUUUGCAGUGUUGCGGUCCCGAUCUAGCAGCAGCACCAAAGUUACACCCACUCAAUUGAAUUAAUUUAAAUGACUGUCUGAUAAGUAUGUGUUAUUUUUAAGCUGACUUAACUGAAAUAAUUGAUUUAUGAUUUAUAAAUGAUUUAUCUUAACUAAAGCAAAUAAUUAAGUUAGAUCAAAGUAAAAACGUUUAUCUUUCCAAAAUCCAUACAUGGUCUUAUCACCCUCUCAUGGUGGAAAAAGUAUUAUCUGAGCUUCUUCAUCCACUAAAUCAUCUUCAAAUGGACACGCCAUGCUGCUUCACCUCUCUGAAAACAAACUAACCUUCAACUAAACCUGCUCCAGACCAGGGGGGUAUUCCAGGAAGCAUGUUUAAACUACCCUUACUGUAACCCUGAACUCUGGCUGAAAUCCACCUGAACUUGCUUACUCUGGGUAUGUCCGUUCCAAAAGACCAGAUAUGAGUUAGCGUAAUUACCC